GACACAUAAAGUGGUUAGCCUCUUUUUGAUGUUUUUAUUGUGGCUUUAAAUUUUUACAAUAUGUCAUGACCUUAACAACCGAUUGCGUACUUCUCUCGCAUUGCUAGCUAUGAAAGAUGCUGUGAUUGCUACUAUUCUGAAGAACUCUGAGAUCAAAGAUGGGCAGUAUAUAUUUGACAUACCAAGUGUAGCAAACAACACUGGACUGCAAGUUGUGGACUUGACAAACCAUUUGCAAACUUUGAAGAUUUUUCCAUGUCUGAUAGUCAGAAAGAACAUGUGGCAUCCAUUGUGCAGUUUGUGCCUGGACUUGAGUCCUUGAGGCGAAGGUUUGCCAUGAAUUAUCGAUAGGAAAUUUUGGAUGAUCUAUUUCGUUUUAUUGCUUCCAAGGCUGAAUGGGAAUGACUUGGAGCUGUUGUCAACUCCUGAGGCAA
Long non-coding RNA from Lycium ferocissimum, 434 nucleotides. RefSeq lists it as uncharacterized. Lineage: Eukaryota; Viridiplantae; Streptophyta; Magnoliopsida; Solanales; Solanaceae. The transcript is spliced from 3 exons. The record is from RefSeq and is a predicted model, not a curated record.